Pipistrellus kuhlii (Kuhl's pipistrelle) is the source of this 134-nucleotide small nucleolar RNA. RefSeq annotates it as small nucleolar RNA SNORA8. The record is from RefSeq and is a predicted model, not a curated record. The transcript has a single exon. Lineage: Eukaryota; Metazoa; Chordata; Mammalia; Chiroptera; Vespertilionidae.
AGAAAUGAAAAUCCCCUUGGAGAUGUUCUCCUGCGUUCAGCAAUUUAUUCAAAGGACAGUGCAAUUUAAAUGCAAUAUCUGGCAUCGUUAGUUUUCUUGGCUCCGUGCAUGUUAAACCUGAUAUUUUUACACUA